This is a non-coding RNA of Cricetulus griseus (Chinese hamster), 1130 nucleotides long. The record is from RefSeq and is a predicted model, not a curated record. NCBI's taxonomy places the organism in Eukaryota, Metazoa, Chordata, Mammalia, Rodentia, Cricetidae.
UGUGAUGAUCACUUUGAAUCCUUAUAAUCCUAUGAAGUGUAUAAUACUACCUGCAAUUUAUGAAGACACGGAGGCCCAGAGAGGUAGUAGUAAUGGAUGGAUCUAAGAAUUAGUGAAGCUCGGGAUGGCUGAGCGGCUUAGGUGCUGCAUUAAGGACUGAUGGAACCCGGAUUCACUAUGAUAUAGUAUCUGUCCCAGUUCUAUAGGGACUGCAGGAACAUACCUCAUCCACUGGAGGAUAGGGGAGAUGCCAUAGGGACAAAGCAUGUCUCAGUUGGUUACUGUUCUGAUGGCCAGGUGACAGUUUUGUUAUGGAAAAACUGGUCUUUUAUCAGUUGGACAUGUAUCAACAUAACAAUCCAGGCUGCCCAUUGAUUUCCCUGGUAAUAUGCUAGUUUCUGCAGGUGCCAGCAUGGAAAAGGACUGGGAAGCAAGGGACAAGGACAUGCUAUCCACGGAUGAAAUGAGGUGUCUGCCUUGGCAGUGAGAUGACAUGGCUGCCUUGGGAUCCAGGUCUCCUUUUGAUGCAGUUAUCUGCAGAUCAAGGUCUUCGUUGGCUGCAUCUGCUGAUUUGUGAAUGAAACACUGGCAGUUACUAAGACAUCUGCUUUCUUUCACCCAGACGGCACACUGUUGCUGUUGCAGGAUUACCAGUCCCUAGCUGAGGAACCAGAGGUCUGAAACACCUGAACACAACUGGACGAUGAAGAUGAAGAUUGUCCCAUGAACCUCAAUGCCCCAAUUCAGCAGGAAGUAGUCUAAUGAUAAUGCCACUCCCUUUCCAAUUCCCAGUUGUUUUAUUAAUAAACAAAAGGGGGACUGCAAGGGGAAAGAGCCACCUAAAGAAACACACCCUGAGUAGAGCCAAAGAAACACACUUUGGCCCUGCAAACAGAACCAAAGAAAUGCACCCUGACCCUGAAACCAGUGCCACAGAAACACACUUUGGCCCUGAACCAAGAGCCAAACCUGACUCUAAACCUGUGCAGAAAACUAACCAGUCCCUGAGUAGGAUAUCUAGCUUUUCUGAGCUCAGGGAUUGAAAUCUUAUCAAUCCCCACCCUGGAGGUCUCCCUGGAAAAACUCUGCCCCCUAAGAAUCCCUAUAUAAACCCUGUGUCUGUUCAGCUU